AGUCCAUGGUGUGGGCACUUUAUGAGCAUUGACUUGAAAUGUUCCAACGCCUCGUAUAGGGAUUAACCUUCGUAUUGCUUAAAGUUGGUGAUUUCUCACCUAAGCU
This is a non-coding RNA of Gossypium hirsutum (cotton), 106 nucleotides long. Lineage: Eukaryota; Viridiplantae; Streptophyta; Magnoliopsida; Malvales; Malvaceae. The record is from Rfam.